RNAcentral lists this ribosomal RNA (440 nucleotides) under uncultured bacterium. RNAcentral describes it as "partial 16S ribosomal RNA". It matches the Rfam family "Bacterial small subunit ribosomal RNA", at positions 338 to 795 of the family's 1533-position model. The record is from RNAcentral.
CCUACGGGAGGCAGCAGUAGGGAAUAUUGCUCAAUGGGGGAAACCCUGAAGCAGCAACGCCGCGUGGAGGAUGAAGGUUUUCGGAUUGUAAACUUCUUUUGUUAGAGAAGAUAAUGACGGUAUCUAACGAAUAAGCACCGGCUAACUCCGUGCCAGCAGCCGCGGUAAUACGGAGGGUGCAAGCGUUACUCGGAAUCACUGGGCGUAAAGAGCGCGUAGGCGGGUUAGCAAGACAGAUGUGAAAUCCUAUGGCUUAACCAUAGAACUGCAUUUGUAACUGUUAAUCUAGAGUAUGGGAGAGGUUAGUGGAAUACUUGGUGUAGAGGUAAAAUCCGUAGAGAUCGAGUAGAAUACUCAUGGCGAAGGCGACCAGCUAGAACAUAACUGACGCUGAUGCGCGAAAGCAUGGGGAGCAAACAGGAUUAGAUACCCGGGUAGUC